Molecule: non-coding RNA, 10180 nt
Organism: Podarcis lilfordi (Lilford's wall lizard)
Lineage: Eukaryota; Metazoa; Chordata; Lepidosauria; Squamata; Lacertidae
Source: the annotation of a GenBank genome assembly
AAAGGUGGUCUACAGUUGGUUAAAAAUAAAAAUAAGUGUAUUCUGCUGAACACACAAUCCUCCCUAAAAUUAGGAAACCUGUAUUAUAAGGCUUCAUGGUUGUGAGGAGGCUUCUAAGCAUUUUCAAUUCUAUAACUUUGUAGGAAGAAAAAAAAUCAUUAGGGAACAGAUUCUCUGUAUGAGAGAUAAAGAGAGACUAAAAGCAGUUUGCCAAAGUUUCUUAGGAUUUUUCUCUCAGCGUCUCACCAAAAUGACACAUGUUGAUGAGAAACUUACCAUUUUAAUGUCAAAAUUCCCAGCGAGUUUCUCCAAGCUGACUUGAAUUUAGACCCUCAGGGAUACAUGUUCAGCACCGUAUCAAAAGACGUUAUGUAACUUCCAUUACUGGUAAUGAGAGGCAUGCAGCUAUAUCACCCUGUAUUGUGUGAAAAGCAUUUCUCUUUAUGUUAGCUUAAUGCAGUUUAAUGUAUAGUUGUGGGCUUUGAAUUGCAGGUGAUACUGAGAUGGUGAAGCAGAAGAGAACUAAAAGAGACAAUGAACUUGCAAAUCUGGUGCGGAGCCUUUAUAGAUUUUAUAUUUGAAAUCUUAAAAGUUCCAUUGAACCAGCAGUAUUUCUCUCUGGAUAGAAGGAUAAUUUUAAGAAAAUAUAAUAUGCAUCAUAAAACCAAGAAAAUGAAUAGAAAUGUAGCUGAACCCAGGACAGCAAGUUUCUUUGCUUCUGCUUGAGUGUGAAACUAUGACAACAGAAUGAAAAAAGAUGCAAGAUGCACUUAGAUGAGAUGCAAGGAUAAGUCUGACUAGGAAUCAAAAGUCAUUCAAAUGUUGCUCAAUGGCAGUAUACAAAUGAUUAUUUUUUUUUUUAAGAAACCCACACAAUUGCUUGAUCAAGUAUGAAGAGAAUAAAAGCAACGAAGGGAACUUGAGAUAUAUUUUCUAUGAUAUUUUAUUACAGAAAAGAAAUGAGGAUUUGUUAUGCAGCAUUUGAGAAGGGCCCCUUCCCUUCCUAGGUUUCACAGUCACUUUUCUGAUUCUCACCAUCAGGGGUGACACCUUGAAUAAAAUAUUGGGGGGAGGACGAGGACCAGGUAAGCUCUGCCCCACAUAAUCAAUCACAAGAUGCGGCACUCAGACACCUUUUGGAAGACAAUGUCCACCAAAAUUUGGGGCCCUCGGUCCCCUCAAAUAUUUUAGGGGGAGCUGAAGGGACCUCAGCCUCUAGGAGGUGGCUCCUAUGUUCACCAUAACCAUACGUGGAAAGACAGGUGAAUUAAUGCCAGUGUACUGGAAGAAGCAAAGAUCACCAGUGCUGAAGCAAUGAUUCUUCAACAUCAGCUUCGUUGGACUGGUCAUAUUGUGUGGAUGACUGAUUAUCGUCUUCCAAAGCAACUACUCUACUCGGAACUUAAAAAUGGAAAGCAUAAUGCUGGUGGUCAACAAAAAAGGUUCAAAGACUCUCUCAAUGUAAUCUAAAAAAAUGUAGUAUAAACACCGACAACUGGGAAACACUGGCCUGCGAGUGCUCCAAUUGGAGAACAACCUUUACCAAAGGUGUCAUGCGCUUUGAAGAAACUUGAACUCAGGACGAAAGGGAGAAACGUUCUAAGAGGAAGGCACACUUGGAAAACCCUCACCGUGAUCAACUCCCACCCAGAAACUUAUGUCCCCACUGUGGAAGGAUGUGUGGAUCCAGAAUUGGCCUCCACAGCAGUGGCGUAGCGUGGGGGGUGCAGGGGGGGCUGGCUGCACCGCGCGCAACAUCUGGGGGGGCGCUCGCACUCGCAGCUCUCUGCCCCUACUAAAAUCCACGGGUUAGGGGGCGCAAAUUACUUGCCUUGCCCCGGGUGCUGACAACCCACGCUACGCCACCGCUCCACAGUCACUUACGGACUCACUGUUAAAACUGUGUUCAUGGAUGCCAGUCUUACUCGGCUACGAGUGAUCACCAAAGAAGAAGAGGAAGAAGAAGAACGUGCGAGGGGAAGUCAUGUACCAGCUUCACCUCCAAAUCCCAUUGCCCUCCCUCCCAUAAGUUGGGAGAGUGACCAUCUGAAGGGUGAAACCUCCUAUACUCAAAGGGAGCCUCUGCCCUUGGGGAAGAUUAAUAGAAUGAUGGUGGGAAAGUAACGCUGGUGCAUUUGUUCCUCCACUCCUCUUUCACAAGCUUCCUCAUGUCUUUGAAAAGGGCUUAGGAAGAGGCUUCUAGGAUGCUGACCACUGACCCUCAUCUCCUUCCCAACUGCCAGGACAGCCAUUUUAAAAAGAAGCAUGGAACAGUAAAGAUCAGUGGCAUGUACCAGCAAAAGACAAACACAAGAAGGGUAAGAAUGUGCUUAUUUUUAGGUAGAAUUUUGGAAUUUUGUGAUUGAAGCACCCACUCUGAACCUAAAAAUCAAGCCAUACUUCAUAUUACUAUCCCCCACACACCCACACCCACACGCACACCCACACCCACACCCAAUCAUUUCUUCUUUUUUAAGUUCUAGAAACCAUAAAAAUGAUCUGGGGGCAGUUGCAAAAAGCCACCACCCAGAGGGUAUAUAGAAUAUAUAAGGUAAAGGCAAAGGGACCCCUGACUGUUAGGCCCAAUCGCAGACGACUCUGGGGUUGUGGCACUCAUCUUGCUUUACUGGCCGAGGGAGCCGGUGUAGAGCUUCCGGGUCAUGUGGCCAGCAUGACUAAGCCACUUCUGGCGAACCAGAACAGUGCACGGAAACGCCGUUUACCUUCCUGCCGGAGCGGUACCUAUUUAUCUACUUGCACUUUGACGUGCCUUUGAACUGCUAGGUUGGCAGGAGUGGGCCGAACUAUGGGAGCUCACCCCAUUGCGGGGAUUCAAACCGCCGACCUUCUGAUCGGCAAGCCCUAGGCUCUGUGGUUUAGACCACAGUGCCACCCGCGUCCCAUAUAUGGGAUAUAUACUACUGGCCAAAGGGCUGCAAGAUUCAAUGGAAGAGAGAGAUCACUUCAGAUAUGCUGACAGAGCACAGGGGGAUUUGAACCAGUGGCAAGCACAUGAUCUUUGUGUGGGAGUCGUCACCCUGUAGCAAGCACAGGGUGAUGUUGCUCAUCCGGCUUCCCGAUGCUGAGCAUUGCUGCCAGGAGUCAGAGGCAGGUGAGAGAGGUGAUGAGGAGCUAGGUGCAGUCUGGGUGCAGCAGCAAAGCCAAUUGAAGGCACCUGCUGCUGCAGCCACACCACAACAGACUCGGCACUGAGAUGCCAAGUGAGCAAUACUGCUCCAGCUGAGUUGGCUGAGCCACCUCAGGGCCACUUUUUGUGCAAUAGCUGCAUUGCAAGGCAGUUGCAAUAUGGUAUCUAAGGUUGGCAUGUUUAUUAUGACAUCACUCCUGUGCUGCACAACAGGCAGAAGUCUUGGAGCAUGUGACACAUUCUCCUUCUGUAUCUCUAUCUGGGGGUAAAAUAUAUAUUCGGGGGAAGUUGCCUGUUUUGUCUAUCGGGUGGCUAUUAAAAAAACAAAAACCCACACAACAACGACUUUUACAAGAUAGAUCUGGGAGGGUUCUUGUCCCUGUCUCUGUUCUUUAGUCAUUUAUUUUAAAUCUAAUUGCCUGUCAAGCAAUCUAAUUGCCGGAGCAGCAAUUAGAUAUUACAACUAAAUCCAUUUUUUUUUUAAAAAAUUAAGGCACUGAUCCUAAACAUAUCCAUAUAGAUGUACAUCUAAUUGAAAUCAGUUUAUCUACCAUAUGAGUAAAUACAUUUGCAAUCAGAAAUUAUGUGUGCAGAUUAUUAUAAUUUACUAUUUAUACUGUCUUGCUCUAUUUGGGACAGUUCCAUGUGCUUUAUAAUUGCAGUAGUUUUAUUUCUUUGUAUAAUUGUAUAUUUCAUUGCUAUAACCUGCCCUGGGACUUUAUGGUGAAGGGAUGGGUAAAGGAAUGUUAUAAAUUAGUGUACAAGCACAGUGAAGCUUCUGUUUUGGGAGGUUCAAGUAAAUUACGGCUUGCCCCAUUCAGUAUCUGGUUUGCCAUUUCUUUUGUCUCCUGCUUCUGGCUCUAUCCAUGCUUAUCCUAUCCAUAAAGAUUGUUCUUUUGAGUUUUUCAAGAACCAUUUCUGUUUAGCUGUAUCCUAGAUGUGUACAUGAAUAUUAUGUCUUACUAGUUACAGUUAUGUGUGUGUUCGUGCAUUUGUGUGCUAUGGCAAACUAUUCUAAUAAUUAUUCAGCUGAAAGAUUCUUGCCUCGGCCUAACAUCCUGAUCUUUCAAAAUAUGACAUGAAAUAAUUGUACAAAUAGAGUUGCUCAGAAGAUGUGUUCUUUUGCUUUCAUCUCGCAAAGGUCACUAGCUCAUCCAUCAAAAUAUUGGUUAUAAUUUCAAUCUCUCUGUUCUAUUUUCAUCUCUUUUGUCUCCCCUGCCAUAUUGUGUAGACACUAGCUAUAGGUUAAUACAAAUGAUGCUAACAGCUCUUCACUUCUAGUACUUCAUAACACCAGACACCUAUUCCUUCUAGGCAGCUGGCCAUAAGCAGUCUUUCUUAUGAACUGCUUCUUUCAUCCUCUUAGUGCUAUAAGGGCAUGAAUCUGUCAUGCGUUAUGUGUCAAUACAUCCCAUGGAUUUCAAUGGAUUCAUGCAUGAGUAACUGGGCAAAGGAUCAAUGAAUGCAGAAGUCCUUGUAUUCCUAGUAGGUUGCUGCUAUGUACUGAGUUGAAUAGGAUCCAAAAUGCAGCAGUCUGAUUGGUCCUAGAACAAUAGGAUCCAAAGUGCAGCAGUCUGAUUGGUCCUAGAACAAUGCAGCAGUAUGAUUGGUCCGCAGGAGCCACCAAAUCCAGCUCCAGGUGGAAGUGAAUCCGCAACCUGAUUGGCCUACAGGAGAAUCCCGGAAUUAGCCAAUCACGUGCGGCCCAUUGUGUAAAUAAUGUAUAUAGAGCAGAUAUUUUGGGAAAACUUUCAUUCCUCACUACUAUGAGCUGAAUAAAGAGCAUGAAAUCCACACUCGACUCCGAGUAUAUUUCAGUUGCAUAGAAAGGUAUGCAUGUUCUCCUUGUUUGGAAAACUGGCAUUUUAAAUUUAUCCAGUUUCAUUUUGGCCACAUCUUUUUAUUUCAACGUCCCAGGAACCUUAUGAGAGCACUCCAUUACCCAAACCAAGGGUGGGCAAUGUUUUGGCAUUUGAAAACCACUUUCUCUCAGGGAUAAUCUGUCAGAGGGUGCACACCAGUGGUGGGCAGGAAUAUGACUUUUCUUUCCUAAAUUAGACUGUUGAAAUGAAGAAAGCUAGUUUUGAGCAAAAGGACUGUGACCUCAAUUCAGUUCUGGUACUUAAAACAGAUUCGUACCAUGUGCUUGGAGGCACCCUGUUCUUUUCCCCAAGCUUUAAUUCUUUUGCGCCAGGCUCUGGUUAGUUGAUUGUGGGCUUCCAAUAAGAAGCAAAGUAGGUCUGGCCACUCUAAAGUCUGUGCACUCCUGUACAAGACUGACAGCAGUCUUCCUUGUGACAGAAUAGAGCCAGAGCCACAACAGGAACAGAUUCCUUUAGCACAUGAGUUGUUUGUGCUCCAGAAGGGUUUAUUUCCUUCUCUGACCCAGUUAAGCUUAUGGUUUUAAUGGGAUUACCACAAAAUGGGAGGGAAAUAACCUUCAAAUCUCUCAUUUUGCCAUUCUAAAUUUAAUUUGAUGGGUGUUAAAUCCAGGUUAUCCUUGCUCAAAAACACGCCUGGCAUCACUGGCUGCUAAAGUUAUAGCUGCUACUGAAACCUGGCCAACACAAGGCAAAUAUGGAAGUUCCUGCAUAAGCAAAACCACUAAUAAUUUCCAGAAGAACUAAAAGAGUUUCAUUAAGGCAAGCGCCAAAUUGAUGAACAAUAAAACAACAUGAUAAACAUACCCAUGUAAGAAGAUAUACCUGGCCAGAACUUAAGCAGGGGCCUUUCUCCAGGUUCUCCUGCCUAAUGAGAUCAGUCAGGUGGUUAUUAAGGAGAAGGACUUUUCAGAAAUGGUACCCCAGUUGUGGAAUAUCCUCACCAGAGAGUCUUGCUUGUGAUCCAUAUUAGGUCUUAUUUGAUGCUUCCAGGCAUUUAGAUAAUUGAGGUUUGGUGCAUUUCAGUUCCCUGACCAGUUUUGCCACUACCACCUUGUUUUCAUCUAUCUUGCGUCACUUCGCAAUGGUUUUGCUCUGAUUUGAUGUUGAUAUGCAGUUUCUGUAAGCAAUAGAUUGGUUUUGGUUUCGCUAUAUUUGUAUUUUAUCGAUUUUUACUUUUAAAAGGAUUGUAAAUUGCUCAGGGAACAUGGUUAAUUGGGCAGUAUAGAAAUGUUCAAAACAAACAAAAUAACCACAGCAUGACAAAUCAAUUAAAAGCUCCUUUACUCAAACACUAUUGACCCCGGAUGAUAAAUACAGAAAGAAGACCCAAUGAGGCAAACAAGCAAAUGAAGAGAAAUCACAUGCUUGGAGUAGCCAAUCAGCUUACAAGUUUAAAAAGUUCUGCAGCCCUGCAGCAGAAAGUAGAAUUUGUGUGGUUUCUUUUUCCAAAGCUGUCUAGGAGGAUUUGCUAAACUUUUGCUUGCCUCUUUCCACCUACAUGUGCUUUCUUUGACAAGGGUAAGAAUGUUCUCUUUUGGUUGGUGUGGAAAUGACGCUUUCUCUACUAAAGAUGUCUUCAAAAGCUUUCAUCACGCUUGCACCUUGCUCUGAUUAGUUUAGGCUGAGAAAUGUUCAACAGAAGGACGGCAAAGCCUGCUAUUUGUUGAUUACCCUCACUUUCUAAUAACAUUUCUCAACAAGCAGUGACUGCCUAUGUAUGCUGAAAGUCAAUAGCUUGCCGAAAGUUAAUGAGAAUUUGGUCUCCAUUUAAAAUGUCAGCCCCACUGGGGAUCCACUAUAAAAAGUGCACAUUGGGGUUAGCACAUCUGUUUGCUUCAGCUCCACUUACUAAAGCUUGUACAUAUGAAAUAUGUUCUGGGUAAAUAUUCCAGGAAACAGUUUGCCUAACAGUAAAAAAAGAAAAAAGAAGUAACUUUGGAAAAUAAUGCAAAGACCCCUGGAAGUGAAAAGUAGCAGAUGUUUAUUGUUGAUGCCAGUGUUGCUGGCUGCUGUCAAGAUGACACAUGAGUGUCUUGCUCCUUCUCCUUCAAAAUCAAAAUGUAUCAUUCUGGCAAUGCAUGCAUUUGCUCCUAGUCUUGUGACUCUGCCCUGAAAAAUCUCCAGUUGCAAAGAAGUAUUUGUUGCGACGUUUAGUUGAUUGAUCGGAUCGAAAUCCUUGUGGUUGGCUGAAAGGGUGCAAUAAUUAAUCAGAAAGUUUUUAAUAAAUAAUAUUUUUGGUACAAGUAUUUCAAUCUGGAGGUUACAGGCAGCCCCUGAAAUUGGUAGAUGAAAUUGGACCCCAAACCAACUUGGGAGUGCCUUGUUUAAAACCUUGGAUUGGACUUGGAAUCAAACAGGCAAUCAGUGCAGAUCCUUCAGGACCAACAUCACAGAAUCCCAAUAUAGCCAAAAACAGUUUGCUUUGGGAGAACUUUCGGGAUGCAUUUCAGGUGUCCCCAAAGGGCUGUUUUUCAUGCCUAAAGCAUUUGGUUCAGUCUAUCAAAGAUAGGUUUUCCGAAUAGAGGCUCUGUCCUUUCUCAUUUUGAGAUGGGUACUUAUUGUCAGGAGGUCCCGCACAUGAGUAGGAACCUGGCAGAGACACAUGCAUGACUGGCAUGUUCUCUCCCUCCUGGUCAGUCGUUCAGGAGCUUCAAAAUCUUUCUCCAGCCUGAACAUCACAGCGACUGAUACCAAGAGGCAUCAGCACACUUUAAGAUCAGCAGAGUGUGUGCAGUCAGCGUACAGACUCAGUAGCGCAGCAUUUUGGCUAAACUACUUUAUUUACAUAUAAUACACUCGGAGCAUUCUGACUCAGCUCUUUCCUCAUCAGCAUCAAACAGCAAAGAGAAAGGACAAAGGACAAAGAGUCCUACAUCAUGGAAAUGCAGUAAUACAAACAUCCUGUCCCCAUCACUUCCCACAAUGUGGAAUGAAAACAUACACCGUCAUGUGCUAAAACAAUCCCAAGACUGCAAGCACGGGAAAAGAACCCUAACUUGCUGCAAUAUAUAUCUCCCCUGAUAACGGGACAAAGAGAAGGUCCUGCUCGAACGAUUUUAAGGCACAAGUAGGCUUUAGGAAUGAAAAAAAGGCCUUUGGGGACACCUGAAAUACAUCUCGAAAGAUUCCCCAAAGCAAACUGCUUUUGUACACUUCAUUGAUGCUCAGUGCUAGUCAGCUGUAGUUUCAGUGCUCUUUUUUACCAUUGGUGUCAGGGGCUGUACUGAGGAGGAAUGGUGGGAGCCUCCCCCUCUCCCUGCUCCUGAUUUGGAUUCUGAAACUUCCCAGGAGCAGGAGGACAGUAUAGAUUUGGAACAGUGGUUUGCAGAGGGACAUAGUUCAGAAGGCAGAAGCUGGGAAAUACUGGAUGGGGAACAACUAGGAGAAGAAACACUGUGAGAGAGAGUGUGUUAACAGAUUCACUGUCUCUGGAAAGCAUUCCUCUGCUCGGCCCAAGGUCAAGAAGAGCUGAGAAGGUGGCAGAACAGAAAGCACUCAAAGCACAGAGGGUAUGAGCUCAGAUUAUAAGACAUAGGAGUGACAUGGAUUUAUAGGGACGCGGGUGGCGCUGUGCCUAGGACUUGCUGAUCAGAAGGUCAGUGGUUCAAAUCCCCGUGACGGGGUGAGCUCCUGUUGCUUGGUCCCUGCUCCUGCCAACCUAGCAGUUUGAAAGCACAUCAAAGUGCAAGUAGAUAAAUAGGUACCGCUCUGGCGGGAAGGUAAACCGUGUUUCCAUGCGCUGCUCUGGUUCACCCUGCUCCACUGAAUUGAAAUUUCAGCCUUCAAGACAAAGAAAAACGGCCAAGUAAAUAGCUAUUUUCGUGGAGGAGGGUCAAGAUAUUAACUGAUAUUCAUGAAAUUUCAGAUAUAGCUAUAUAAUCACUAGUGUGGUAAGAUAAGACCUUUGGAGCAGGCAUUUUUUUUAAAAAAAGUUUUGUUAUGAACCGCCCUAAUGCUCAAUGGACAUUGGAACUCCACCUUGCACUGAGAAGCUCAGCUUCCAUACAAUUUCUGAUGCCUGUCAGAUUAAUGUGGCAACAGCGGCCACACGUAGCCUCUGCGCUUUCUUUCCAAGCAAGAGUUCAUGAGAACCCCCUGCUUGUCACGAAGGCACUCAGGAUUGGGUAAAUGGAAACAUCCCUGAGAGGAAAUGAAACCAAUUCAGAGUGAGGUUGUUUCUAUUAAUAAAACAUUGCUUGGGUAGUUAACUACGAUGGCUAUUUUAAAAAUUCAGGUUCUUCCAGAAUGCUUCAACAAUACAAAUUAAAAUCAAGACUAUUUUAAGUAUAAGAAUUCUUGCUUUAAUUUCUAUAGAACUGGUGGCUUUUUCGUGAGAGAAAAAUGGAAAUGCAAUUAUAGAAACAUAACAAGCUAAUAUGAAAUGAAGAGUGAAAUUGACAUGAAAAAGAAGACAGGUAUGUCAAGGAGAUGCUGACAUUUACUUUUGCAUUGGAACAAAUCGACAUCAUCCCUAAAAAAACAGAACACGGACAAAGCGUAGCAGGUUAAUAAUAGAUACAUAACACAAGGUAAGAUCUUUCAUUACCUCACAUAAAAGAGUACAUAAAAUAUACAUAAUUGCAACAGUAAAAGGGGUUUUUGUUUGUUUGUUUCCAGUGGGCAGGAAUCUGUUUUCUUAAAACAUAACUGAAGAAUUAAUAUUAUGUAUACAAAGCAUAUGACAAAGCAUAUGACUCCAUAUUCAAUUUUCAUGGAACAAAGAUUAUAACGGAAUUAUAUACUACUGUUCCCUAAACUAGGCACACUAUAGAAGACCAUUUUUUGACCAAGUAAAAUUUGAAAUGCAUUUCAAUAUUAUGUUCAAACCAAUAUGUUAUUUCUCCAUCAGCUCUCAGAUAGAUAAGCAGGCAUCCUCCUUGCAACUGCAAGGCAGACCAAAUUUUCCUCUUGGCACCUCACUUUUUCCCUUUCUGAUCAGGCAGGGUUGAAGAAUAGGAGAUGCCAGUUUUGCCUGCUGGAUCUGGGCCAAAUUAGAAGUUUGUGGGGAUUAUAAUAAGCCUCCUCUUCCUGGAGAUGAACAUGAGGAGUCCUGAAUUUUUUCUCUGGCUUGGUUUAAAAGCCAAGCGAAAGAAUAAUUUCUGAUUUAGUCACAACACCCUGAGAGCUUCCCUCCACUCCACCUGCUGGG